Molecule: long non-coding RNA, 695 nt
Filed under: Carica papaya (papaya)
Lineage: Eukaryota; Viridiplantae; Streptophyta; Magnoliopsida; Brassicales; Caricaceae
Description: long non-coding RNA (CPAP_LNC008821)
Source: RNAcentral
AAGAAUUUCCUCCACUAUCAACAUAACAAUGACAGAUUGUCUUUGUGACAAUCAUCAGAGAUCAAGGAAUGAGUUCUUUUAUUCAAUUGAGCCUUUCAGGGAAAUUCAAAAGAAAAGAAACCUCAGGUGCAAUGUUGAAAUUGGUUUUCGCUGGUCUGGCAGCAGCGAGACUGGCAACCAAUUUGAGUUCUCAGUUCUUUAUGACCCUUGGAUGAUUAUUUUUUUUUUAGCAACCGUAUCAAAUAUUCCAGCGUCCUAGAACUUAAGAGGUACGAAAAUUCCGAAACCAAAUAAAUAUCCAUAUUUUAUAUAUAUCUAAUAUAUUACACAGCCUAAAAACAUUUAAUUACCUAAUACCUUGCAAAUUACAACUGUCUUUCCUUUAUGCAGGGUGAGUAAAGAUGAAUCAAAUCAGAGUCAAUAUUGAAUCAACAGAAAAAAGAUUUUGCAAAGAUAGUUACCUUGUUCAGAAUGCAGAGAACUCCAGCAAUGUUUUGGAGCAUUGUUUCUCCAGCUGUUUUUUUUCCUUUUUCUUCCUUUUCUCUCAUUUUUGUUUAUGUAAUAAAUACCUGUCCUGAUACAUUUUAUGUUGAAUUAGAAUAUUAAUAUAUACAUACAUAUAUUCCUGAUUUCAGGAUUUGAUGUGAAAUUAUAUGCUUUUCCUGAUAAGUUAUGGUAAGGCUUAAGGUCCAGAG